ACCGUCCCAGCCCUUUCGUUUACUCUGGCGACGGUGUUGGCGGCGAUCCCAGCGUGGUUCAGUGGCGCUAUGUGGAGAUGGAGGCUCACGCGCAUCAUGCGGUUGGUGGAUCUCGGCUGCUGCGGCCAUGUCGAUGGCGGCGGAGGCGAGGGACCCACGCUUGCUGGUGUCGUGAUUUCAGUGGGCCGGAGCUGCUGGAGGUGAGGACCGGAGGUGCUCCUUUCCGCGCGUUGUCUCCGUCAGCCACCUCGACCCCUGGUGGAGGGGCGGUCCCAAGUCUCACCGACGGUUUCUUGGUGCGUGGCCCCGUGUCGACGGCGGCAGAUAGACCGGCUGUAUGCCUGGUCGUGCUGCUGUUUUGGAGGGUAGGAGAUCAGGCUCGCGGGUGCCCGCGCCCAAUCUGAAGCCGGGAGGGAGACGCUCUUGUGUAGUUGUGUGUGCCCAUCGUCGCUGCAGCAGCUCCGCUCGUGCACGCCAGCAAGAGCUCCGCCGCCAGCUCCUGUCGCUUUGGGUCUUACAUCAUCUGCCGCAUCCCCAAACAUCAUCGACUGUGGCCCUAUCCGGUGAGCACCAACCUCUCUUUUUUGCUUGUAACUAGAUGCUGCUUUGUGGCACCACAAGAAAUAUGUCAACUUGUGACCCUUGCUAUUGGGCAUUGAAAGGUCAUUGUUUUCAUUUGCGACUUUUUUGUGACCAAAAACAGAAGGUCAAAAGCUGGCAGUCGUAAACUGAAAUUAGUGACCUUCUUUGUGAUAUGUAAAAGGUCGUUGGUUCCAUGACCAAAUUUUUGGUCACUAGCAACCUCCCCAUGCCACGUAGGCAUCCAGCGUGGCAAGCUGGUGUGACACAAGAUUCAGCCCGGUCCAAUUCGGUUUUCUACAUGGGCCUAGCCCAACAAUUCAGCCUUUUUACUGUAUAUUUUCUCUAUUAAUUUUCUCUAGCUAUAUGGGCCUAGCCCAACAAUUUGGCAUUUUUAUUUUCUAGGCAUGGCCUUUUGCGG
Molecule: ribosomal RNA, 1000 nt
Filed under: Triticum aestivum (bread wheat)
Lineage: Eukaryota; Viridiplantae; Streptophyta; Magnoliopsida; Poales; Poaceae
Description: partial small subunit ribosomal RNA
Source: RNAcentral